Molecule: ribosomal RNA, 110 nt
Organism: Chrysemys picta bellii (western painted turtle)
Lineage: Eukaryota; Metazoa; Chordata; Testudines; Emydidae
Source: Ensembl
CUGGGCAAUCCUUCCUAGCCAGACUGUACUUGAUCUCAGACGCUAAACUGACCUGGACCUGGCUAGUACUUGGAUGGGAGACCACCUGGGAAUGCCAGGUGCUGUAUACA